CCACCGAAAAACAUUAUCUUCCUUCCCACUUAGUUAAGACCGGUCAGUCUUGAGCUGAAACUUCAAAUUAGGGUUUGAAGAAGAGGAGGUUGUCUCUGAUUCAGAUCUAUCUAUACAAACAACUCCAAGGUAUGUAGUUAAUGCUUACAAGAUUCAUUACAAAUCUCUGAUGCAGAUCUAUCUAUACAAACUUCAAAUUAAGGCUUACAAGAUUCAUUACAAAUCUCAAUUUUAACCUGUAAAUCUAUGGUUUACAAGAUUCUUUACAACUUUAAGGUAUGCAAGGCUUACAAGAAUCUCAAUUUUCACAUUCACAUUCAGAUUCAGUUUAUUCAAAGAAUAAUUGAAAGUAAAUCUAAGAGAGUAAGCAAGUUGUUCUUACUAACAAGUAAGGCAAUAGCAGUAGAAAGGAAAAAGAAGAAGAGGGUUUUUAUUAAUAAGUGAUUUUGGUUCUUGGUAUGAGCGGGAUCGGAAAAACAUACCUUAACUCUGUAUCUGAAUUUCUAAUAGAUAUGAGUUGGUGCAGCUGACCCAUGGAGAUCUUAUAUAUAUAUAUAUAUAUAUAUAUAUAUAUAUAUUUUAAUUCCCUCCCAUGGCGAUCUAACACCACAUGGUAAGAGAGUUCUUCGAAAUGCUGUAUUUUGUCACUUGUUAAGUGUUUAACAAAGACGUUUUGAUUCAACUGAGGUGGUAAUCAACAAGGGUUAAGUUUUUAAGAAAGACAUUUUAGAGCUGGAGAUCGUCAAGUGUGCACAAGGUUUUUGCCUUUUGGUUGUGAGGGUUGUCAAUCCAGAAGAAAUUGAGGGGUGAUUGUGGAGCUGAAUCUCAAACCACAUUAAGUUUGGACAACACAACAGUCAACUAUCCCAGUUGCAGAAUGCCAAGAAACUCCGUCUUUGGAGGCGUCAAAUUUUCAUGAUCAGUUCAACCACAGAGACUCAGCCACUACUUCAGGUCUCAUGACUUAUGAAACAAAUUAGAAUGCUUUAAGCUGUCCAAAAGCGUAAAAAAGAGCAUGGUGAAUAUGAGACAUCUUAUGUACCUAGUUGCAGUUGAUUUAUAUAUAGUUGUUGAUAGCCUUACAAAAUCUUGCCAAGAUGAUGAAUGAAGAAGGACAAAGAAGGGAUCCUUACAUCUCCAGGACAUGUUCUGCAACAAAUAGAAUUAUUACUGCAAAAGACCAUGCUUAUGUGCAGCUUAACAUUGGUGAUAUUGAUGAGAGUGGCAAAUAAACUGGAGUUCUCUACCUUUGCCCUUGUUUCGUUUGUGCCCAGUGCAUAUGAUCGGCUAUGACAGAAGAAGAAAGUUGAAGUUGGUGCUUCUCAAGAUCUGCGGGCGUGGAUAUUCAAUGAACACCGCAAUAUUUAGUGUUUUUACAUUUAAUUAAGUUGAACAUUUAUUCGUAAUUUUGUGUACGUUUUCAUUUCAAGAAUCAUGAAAGUUAGUUUGAUCUUGUGGUGCCAAACCCAAUUGAUGCACUUUCUAUUUCUCAGGAGGGGAUUAUUUUUUAUUCUUUUUUCCGCCUUA
This is a long non-coding RNA of Papaver somniferum (opium poppy), 1527 nucleotides long. RefSeq lists it as uncharacterized. The transcript is spliced from 5 exons. NCBI's taxonomy places the organism in Eukaryota, Viridiplantae, Streptophyta, Magnoliopsida, Ranunculales, Papaveraceae. The record is from RefSeq and is a predicted model, not a curated record.